CGCGGUUCGUUGGUCUAGGGGUAUGAUUCUCGCUUUGGGGGCGAGAGGACCCUGGUUCAAAUCCCAGAGGAGCCCCUUUUCCUUCUCUUUUUUCCCCUUUCGCAUUUUCAGCAAGAACGGGAGACUAGGAAGGCGAAGGGAGGCUGCUGUUGGCAGAGCCUCAGUGGGGACCUCCCGGGGUCCCGGGACGCAGACGGACGGGCCUGAAUCGCUCGCCUUGCAGUCGGUCCGUCACCCUGAAAUGGGAUCCAGCGCUGCCAACUGCGGGUUCGAGAGUAUGGCGGCUCCAGUCCCAGACUUCAGGAAACCGGAGUCUCCUCCUAGCUCUGCUCUCUGCUGGGUCCCCACCUCUCGCCACGAGGACGCCACGAAGGCCACAGAGAGAAGCCGGAAGUAA
Molecule: long non-coding RNA, 397 nt
Filed under: Cercocebus atys (sooty mangabey)
Lineage: Eukaryota; Metazoa; Chordata; Mammalia; Primates; Cercopithecidae
Description: lncRNA (ENSCATG00000045444.1)
Rfam family: tRNA (bases 4-75)
Source: RNAcentral